AAAUAAGUAGUAUAUAAGUAUAUUUGAUUUCCAAUCAAAUGGUAAGAAAUUUAUUUA
Molecule: transfer RNA, 57 nt
Filed under: Neoscona theis
Lineage: Eukaryota; Metazoa; Arthropoda; Arachnida; Araneae; Araneidae
Description: Neoscona theisi tRNA-Gly
Source: RNAcentral